RNAcentral lists this long non-coding RNA (4909 nucleotides) under Bemisia tabaci. RNAcentral describes it as "lncRNA ENSSSA1NGG006482". Lineage: Eukaryota; Metazoa; Arthropoda; Insecta; Hemiptera; Aleyrodidae. The record is from RNAcentral.
AUGGACUUAAAAGAAAUUUUAAUUUUGUUCCAGGAACUGAUGAAUGAGACUAAUAAUGAAGAGAAUGAUGAUUAUAGUCUCUACAAUUUGUUUGAGCCAGGGGCAAAUUCAACCCCGCAACCAAAGCCAUCGGGCUUUCACGCGCCAAAUGAAGACUUUGCAAGCUUACUUGGGGCGUGGAGCCGACUAGCAUUACACAAAAUUUGGGAGCUGCCACCACAGUCACAGCUGAAAAUACAGCACCGGUACACAAUCGAAGUGUCCACCAUGAGAAGAAGAAGAAAAGCAGAUGGUGGAAAAGCAGAUGGUGGCUGCUGGGCUGUUGUUGAAUUUUUUACCUUCUCGCUUUCAUAUUUUAUUUUAGAGAGAGACUCGUUAUUUUGUUUUUAAAGUUUAGUUAUAUUUUUAUAUGUUGUUUGUCAAGUGAUAUUUUGUUUUUUCUUUUAUUAAAUUUAUUGAGUCAGCAUAGUUGGGAUUCAAUUUUUACAAAGAUACUUCCUCCAAAAACUUAACUAAGAUCCUUAGUUGUUGUUUCUUUUCUUUCUUUUUUUCUUUGGCAUCGCUCAGAAAAAACUAUUCUUUCAAGCACCGACUUGAUUAAUGUAAAAGACUCUGAACACUAAAGCUACAGCUCAGAAAUGUAUCCUAGCGAAUGGAAGAAUUGAGAGAUUAAACUUUCAUUAUAUGAAUCAGUGCCUGCCAGAUCCUGUUUUGGAUUACUUUUCCACUUUUAUUGUAUGUAAUUCCCUAUCCUGCGCAUACAGCAAAAGUGGAAAAGUAAUCUGAAACGGUCUCUGGACAGGCGUAGAUUCAAAUUUUUCAUAAAUGAGAUUUCGGGAUUUUUGAGGCAAUAGCUUCUGUACUGACAUCGAUUGAACUCUUCUAAACGCGAACAAGGUUGAAUAAUAUUUAUCAUGCUGACCUAUUGAAUUACCACAAAAACCGGAACAUUAAAAAAAUUUGAAAGCAAAGGUCGGAAAACAAGCAUCUCGAUUUGUAGCGCUGCAGAUUUGGCCUUCAUUUUGCAAUAAGCACUCGACUAUUUCGACUUUUACUCGUCCAUAAUUGCACUCACUUGCACAGAGAAACUAAUGGCGCAUUAUGUCUUUUCCCCCUCAAAAAUGAGUAGUAAAUAGUAUUCCUUAACGCAAAAUGAAGAAUGUUCGUUCUUGGUCAUAUCUCCUUUCCUUAAAGAGGGGAAAACAUCCGUUUAGGUUAAACUCUCCUUCAAGCAGAACUAAUGUCUCAAUUUUGAGUUUUUCGCCGAAAAGCCGCAAUUUUCUUUUGGCGACCUUGUUUAGAUCAUAUCUUUCGAAUUGAAUUAGUGCCACCGUGAACUUACGAAUCACUAUAGAAGGUUAGAAAUGUACUAACCAACUAACUAACUAGAAAUGUAUAAUUUCUUAUUUCACCCAUUUUUUUACCCCCCUGUUUUUCAAACAAGCAUCGUACCUAAUUCAAGAAGGAUGAUCACAAAUGAAAAGAGAAGAGCCGAAGGGAGUUACUUGCCUCGUGACUCUUCAAAUGUUCACCUGACAAGUUAUUUAUUUCUUCAAUUUCAUUUCUUAGUUUUAUACUAAUUAUCUUCGUACUUAGAGUAAAUUCGAAGCGUAUGUCACAAGACAUAUUCUUGUUUAAUGAAAAAAUAAGCACAUUGCACAGCGAGACUUCGGAAUGUGUCAGUGCAACUGAGCUUCCCCUCCAUUCAUCCCUUCGGUAUUAUAAUAUUAUCAUAAACCGUUUUAAUCAUACCUGUUCCAGGUUGGCUAAACUUUUUUAUCAUAGCUUUUUCCCAAUUAAGGAGGUUUUUCAAACUUCCCAUCUUUUUUUGAAUUUCCUUGACCGAUCUCCCCAGAGUUGCAGCAAUUUCACUCCAGGCUUCGUAUUUUUUAUUGAAGUUUGAGUACCGUUUUCCGAAUUCCAAAGCACCGGAAACUUUUCAUAAAGGUUGAUUAGGAGAAAUUCCUCUUCAAUACUCCAACAGACCAUGGAAGCUCAAUAGAAAAAUCGAAACAACCAUAAAAAUAACAGAAGAUGAAAACACUCUGGUCCGCUUUUGAAACAAAGUCAAUCAGGUGCAAACAACCCGCGAAUGAUUGACAGUUACAGAAAACGAAAAUAAGUGAUUAUCAGUUCAAAUUCAAAAUUGAAAACACAGUUACGUAAUCGUAUUUGAUCAUCUCAUGCAAUGUCUCAAGGACUGAACCAAAUAAACAGCAUAGAAUCUAAAAUCGUCAUCAUGUUUGGUUUUUUCUCACUCCACGCAGUAUUACAGUCAUUACGACAUCGUUGACCUCUUCGUAGGAACUCUUCCCCUCAUCAACUUUCAUUAUUAAUGACUCCUUGUGAUAGCUUACUGCCGUCACUGCAUCCAUAUAAGGAGUGACUCACUUGAUUUCUCGAGGGGUUUUUUUUCCAUCUCAUAGGCCCCUAGCAAGUACAGGCGCAGUCACUAUAUUUGAUUCAGUGUUGAUGUAUCAUGGUAUAAUGAUAAAGUAUUACAAAUUAAAAAUAUUUAUUUAUUUGCUUUCCGAAAAUUUGUGUUACCAUUCACUUAAUUAACAAGGUACCGAGACACCGAGCUGCAACUAACAUGGCGCGAGAAACCUCUCCCCUUAACUAACGCGCACACAGAGAGAAAACUCAACACAACAGUUCGUAUGAUUCGGGAAGCAAAACACAAAAUAACCGAACCCUUCGAUUGACCCUGGAGUUUCCCAGUCUCUCCAUUGGUUUUAGCGCUAAAGUCACCGCAAACGGUACCAAAAUCAACACAAAAUUAGUGUCGGUUGGUGUUUCACUUCUUGUGUCACCCAAAGGUAACACAAGAACACAAAUAUUUUCAUAUCGGUGCGGUCGUUUUCAUCUCACAGAUGAAAACUCCUCGGCUGUAAAACUAUUUAUCGCGAUCUAACUCAUUUCAAAUUUCACCUGAAAUUUGAGAGCGAAGUCGAAGUUAGGCACAGAAGCUUCGGGCGUUGGCAUAAAAGCUCUCGGAAGCCGCUCGUAUGGGGUUAGUCGACGUGAAGUUUCAAGACCCGAGACAACCCGGUCCAGCCCCUGUAAGAGCAGCUAGUCAAAGAAUAAAGUGUGAAUUGGACUGCAUUUUACAAUUUGGAACUGUAAAUUCUGGCCCGGUUUAAAAACAACGUAUGUGCCAUUAGUUUCCCUAUGCACAUAGGUGUUUUUUCAGAUGAGCCAGAAUUUAUAGUUCCAAAUUGCAAAAUGCAGUCCAAUUGUGCCCAUAAAAGUGUGGUUCCAUUUUCCCCCCAUAGGGUUCUCACAACACUAUUUUUGACUACUACUUACUAUUUUACACUUUCGUGACUCAUACCAGGAGAAACUCCCAGUCCUCAGAUAUAUUUGGAGCCAGUUUUCCCAUAACUCACAAUCUAUCUACCAAAAUACCGAGAAAAAAGUCUUCAUGCUCAAGGCCACCAUCACAGUUCCACGAAAAAUUUUCAAUUUGUGUCGCAGCUUGAAUAAAAAAUUAAAAUAAAAAACCCAGUUCUUCAUGGAACUGAAUCAAAUGGUCCAUCCUCAAAAAACAGAGGCUAGUUUUUCAAAAUUCCCAGCGUAUAUUAUAAUGGAGCUCUCACAUUUUGCAAAAAUUAUGAUUCAAGAACUGUUUUGUACGUAAAUUUUGCGAAAAGUACGAUGGUGCCCCAAACUUUUUCUCCCCAAGCUCAUAAAAAAGCUCUCGAAAUUGAGGUUAUAAGAGAGAAAAUCGUCUACGUUAUAAUGAGAGUUCAGCAUAAACGGCCCAUCUCUUCUUAUACAAAUAAGGAGCGAAUGCAUUAGCAAAGUUGACGAGGUUACAAAAUUGUAGCCACCCCCCGCCCGCCCUCACCCACACACACCCUCACCAACACAAAGAGCCAAUUCAGUUGAUAUAUUUGCUCUCUAACUGUUCACGGUCGAGUUUGACUGGAGAUAAGGCGGAUUUUCAACCUAGCGUGGAAGAUCCCCGCCAUUACGGUCUCGACUUAGAGAGCUUUUUUGGAGCUUGGAAGUUCGUUUUAGAGAAAACGAGUUGCACCAUCGAUUUCCUUGCAGAAUCCGAUGCUAGUGUUACCAUGUUCAACCCGUUACAAUAUUUAUCACAGAGUGAAUUAGCGGGAAUUUUCUUUGAUAUUGUCACAUUUACAAGUUCAAAUUGUGAAUAAAUGAAUAAAAUAAUUUUGUACACAAGUUUCCUUGAAAAUUUGUAUUUUAUGAGGUGAAACUUGGCAACCUCCAAAGAUUCAUACGGCUCGUUUCGGCUACAAAAUAAACUUGACUCAUAGAUUAAAGUAAAAGCAAGAGUGUGAAGUAUAACAAAUCAUGCACACCAAAAAACAUUCGAUAAAAAAAGUUCCCUUUAAAUUUGUUGACUUUUUGCAUUAGGGCGUAAGUUCAUGAAAACGUUUCAAAAUUGCUACGGAGAAUUGUAUUUGUAUGGAUCAACAAACGAGUGAAUCUCCUCGAAUAUUUCACGAGAUUUAGGUGACCUUGAGUUAAAAAGGUCCCCUUUUUCCUCAGGGCAUUCACGCAAUUAUACUACCACACAGACGUAAAGGAUUCUUGGAAAUUCUAAAACGUUGGAGUAGACUUUAGUCAAAAAGGAUUCAGCCAACCUUUGACGCACAUUCUUGCUACUGGGUAACUUUUUUUAAUCCUUUUUUUUGGGAGUGCUUUCACUCAAGUUGGUGUUUAAAAAUGAGUGCUGGCCCACCUCUCAUUUCGACAAUGCUGAUUGAUUAUGAGAGUCGCAAUUGAAAAAUAUAUUUCCAAAACAGACGCGUGCAGAUUGCCUUAACUCAUUUUUUCCCCAGUUUUUUCCUGUUUUUAUCUUCGUAAAAAACGAUCACACCGUGGCUUGACGCAAACUCAUGAUUUUGGUGCCUGUAUCAACGUUUCAUUCGUGCUG